GAUGAACGCUGGCGGUAUGCCUAACACAUGCAAGUCGAGCGCCCGCAAGGGGAGCGGCGGACGGGUGAGUAACGCGUGGGAACGUACCCCUUUCUACGGAAUAGCCUCGGGAAACUGGGAGUAAUACCGUAUAAGCCCUACGGGGGAAAGAUUUAUCGGGAAGGGAUCGGCCCGCGUUGGAUUAGGUAGUUGGUGGGGUAAUGGCCUACCAAGCCGACGAUCCAUAGCUGGUUUGAGAGGAUGAUCAGCCACACUGGGACUGAGACACGGCCCAGACUCCUACGGGAGGCAGCAGUGGGGAAUCUUAGACAAUGGGCGCAAGCCUGAUCUAGCCAUGCCGCGUGAUCGAUGAAGGCCUUAGAGUUGUAAAGAUCUUUCAGUGGGGAAGAUAAUGACUGUACCCACAGAAGAAGCCCCGGCUAACUCCGUG
RNAcentral lists this ribosomal RNA (430 nucleotides) under uncultured bacterium. RNAcentral's name for it is "bacterial SSU rRNA". It matches the Rfam family "Bacterial small subunit ribosomal RNA", at positions 28 to 507 of the family's 1533-position model. The record is from RNAcentral.